GAUGAACGCUAGCUACAGGCUUAACACAUGCAAGUCGAGGGGCAGCAUGGUCUUAGCUUGCUAAGGCCGAUGGCGACCGGCGCACGGGUGAGUAACACGUAUCCAACCUGCCGUCUACUCUUGGACAGCCUUCUGAAAGGAAGAUUAAUACAAGAUGGCAUCAUGAGUCCACAUGCUCACAUGAUUAAAGGUAUUCCGGUAGACGAUGGGGAUGCGUUCCAUUAGAUAGUAGGCGGGGUAACGGCCCACCUAGUCUUCGAUGGAUAGGGGUUCUGAGAGGAAGGUCCCCCACAUUGGAACUGAGACACGGUCCAAACUCCUACGGGAGGCAGCAGUGAGGAAUAUUGGUCAAUGGGCGAGAGCCUGAACCAGCCAAGUAGCGUGAAGGAUGACUGCCCUAUGGGUUGUAAACUUCUUUUAUAAAGGAAUAAAGUCGGGUAUGGAUACCCGUUUGCAUGUACUUUAUGAAUAAGGAUCGGCUAACUCCGUGCCAGCAGCCGCGGUAAUACGGAGGAUCCGAGCGUUAUCCGGAUUUAUUGGGUUUAAAGGGAGCGUAGAUGGAUGUUUAAGUCAGUUGUGAAAGUUUGCGGCUCAACCGUAAAAUUGCAGUUGAUACUGGAUAUCUUGAGUGCAGUUGAGGCAGGCGGAAUUCGUGGUGUAGCGGUGAAAUGCUUAGAUAUCACGAAGAACUCCGAUUGCGAAGGCAGCCUGCUAAGCUGCAACUGACAUUGAGGCUCGAAAGUGUGGGUAUCAAACAGGAUUAGAUACCCUGGUAGUCCACACGGUAAACGAUGAAUACUCGCUGUUUGCGAUAUACAGCAAGCGGCCAAGCGAAAGCGUUAAGUAUUCCACCUGGGGAGUACGCCGGCAACGGUGAAACUCAAAGGAAUUGACGGGGGCCCGCACAAGCGGAGGAACAUGUGGUUUAAUUCGAUGAUACGCGAGGAACCUUACCCGGGCUUAAAUUGCAGAUGAAUUACGGUGAAAGCCGUAAGCCGCAAGGCAUCUGUGAAGGUGCUGCAUGGUUGUCGUCAGCUCGUGCCGUGAGGUGUCGGCUUAAGUGCCAUAACGAGCGCAACCCUUGUUGUCAGUUACUAACAGGUUCCGCUGAGGACUCUGACAAGACUGCCAUCGUAAGAUGUGAGGAAGGUGGGGAUGACGUCAAAUCAGCACGGCCCUUACGUCCGGGGCUACACACGUGUUACAAUGGGGGGUACAGAGGGCCGCUACCACGCGAGUGGAUGCCAAUCCCAAAAACCUCUCUCAGUUCGGACUGGAGUCUGCAACCCGACUCCACGAAGCUGGAUUCGCUAGUAAUCGCGCAUCAGCCACGGCGCGGUGAAUACGUUCCCGGGCCU
Molecule: ribosomal RNA, 1358 nt
Filed under: uncultured bacterium
Lineage: Bacteria
Description: bacterial SSU rRNA
Rfam family: Bacterial small subunit ribosomal RNA
Source: RNAcentral